CGUAGGUGAACCUGCGGAGGAUCAUUA
RNAcentral lists this ribosomal RNA (27 nucleotides) under Hericium erinaceus (lion's mane mushroom). Its description in RNAcentral is "partial 18S ribosomal RNA". RNAcentral also lists the same sequence under 2 other names. The record is from RNAcentral. Lineage: Eukaryota; Fungi; Basidiomycota; Agaricomycetes; Russulales; Hericiaceae.